This 329-nucleotide ribosomal RNA is filed under the name uncultured eukaryote. Its description in RNAcentral is "partial 18S ribosomal RNA". It matches the Rfam family "Eukaryotic small subunit ribosomal RNA", at positions 1470 to 1796 of the family's 1831-position model. The record is from RNAcentral.
CCCUUAGAUGUUCUGGGCCGCACGCGCGCUACACUGACGAUGGCAACGAGUUUUUCCUUCGCCGAAAGGUGUGGGUAAUCUUUUGAAACAUCGUCGUGCUGGGGAUAAAUCAUUGCAAUUUUUGAUCUUGAACGAGGAAUUCCUAGUAAGCGCGAGUCAUCAGCUCGCGUUGAUUACGUCCCUGCCCUUUGUACACACCGCCCGUCGCUACUACCGAUUGAAUGGUUUAGUGAGGACUCCUGAUUGGCGCCGCCGCCCCGGCAACGGAGCAGCGGACUGCCGAAAAGUUGUUCAAACUUGAUCAUUUAGAGGAAGUAAAAGUCGUAACA